RNAcentral lists this ribosomal RNA (1513 nucleotides) under Triticum aestivum (bread wheat). RNAcentral describes it as "partial small subunit ribosomal RNA". The record is from RNAcentral. Lineage: Eukaryota; Viridiplantae; Streptophyta; Magnoliopsida; Poales; Poaceae.
ACAAUACUAUGGAAUUCCUCAAAAUUGGCUAAGUCUGAGGACUGUUCAGUUUUUUUUAAACUCCACUGGGCUGUUGUCUGAAGGCUAUAAUUAAUGUUAUGUAGUUCUAAUGAAGACACUGCAUAUAUGUGUUUUACUCUACAUCAACAGUAGUACAAGGCCAUGCCAUUAGAUGGCCUGAACAGCUCCUAUAACAGGUCCAUUUACAGCUGUGAAGUAGUUAAGACACUAAAUCUGUUUUUAAGUUUUCUCUCUUAACAGAAUAUAGACUUUUGUCAUUUUUAUAGGAACUAAUCCAUGCCGUAUUUGAAUUUGGUCCAAUGGAGUAACUUGGACCUUGUCAAGCAUACUUUGUACUCAUAUUUUCUUUAGCCUUGUUAACAGUUGUCUAACCGCUGUUUAGGGACUGUCUAAAGGGUUAGUCGUUGUAGAUUUAUAAAAGCUAGCUCGCCGCUAGUAGCAGCGUUACAGCAAGCAGCGGCGCUCGGGGCAGCGAUGCAGUAGGAGCAGCAGUGAGCAGACGCAGCAACAGCAAGCAGGUGAGGGUGUGGCCAGUCGGAGGCGGGCUCGGUCAGAGGCACACACACAUUCACUGCACGUACACACACACAGCACGCACACAUGCUGCACACUAACAUAGCACACACAGGCACGGGCGCUGGCCAUGGUCGGCCGCAGCAGCGGCGUAGAGCAGUAGCAGUACAGGGGAGCAACAACGGCAGCUAGCAAGAGCCGGCGGCACAGCAGCGGCUACAAGCAGCAGUGGCGAAACUACGAGCGGCGAGUAGGGAGGGGGAAAUCGGAGGCACGGCGAGGGCAGAAGGUCGGGGCGCGCGGGCGCUUGCGUGAUCGCGCUGCCAGGGCGUGGCGGGGUGUGGCCCGACGCACCAGGAGGGUCGGAGGUGUGCACGCGCAGGCGCGAAUCCCCGGCGCAGACAUGGCGAGAGCGCGACGGCGCUGCACGCGUGCGGGCCAGGGGGCGCGAGCGUACGGCCACGCAUGGCCAAGCGUGCACGGGAGCGUGGCCGGGCGGGCGCCGCAUGGUCCAGAGCGCGAGCCCCUGGUGCGGUGGUGCGGCGAACUAAGAUGGCUGAGAACGGAAGGGAAAGGGCGAAACUAGAGGGGGAACAUCUCACAGCGAUGCUCGGGCGUUUCGGGACGGGUCGGGGAGGCCGGAAGAGGUCGAGCAUCGAUGGGUCAACGGCGGGGAUCCUGGACGACCGACGGUGAAGAAGACCCCGAUGGCGAGGCUGGAGGCGUUCCGGCGACGAACCCGUCGGAGGGUGGUGUCCAGCGUGAUGCACUGGUCCUCCUGGGCAUGGAGUCAAGAUGAUGGGCAUCUGACGUCCAUGGGAUCGACGGUGAGCAUGGCGACGGGUUUGUGGUGGAGCUCUAGAUCGAGCGCACGGGCAAAGGGAAAGGGGGAUGUGAGGUCUAGGGUUUGUGCGCUGGCUCGGGGUCGGCCUUAUCUCCCCCGGAGCUCGGGUGGAUGCCCGACGUGUGUGUAUCGUCG